AGGUGACACAGGUGCUAUUGGGGUGACCGUAUUCUCCAAGCACUGUGUGAGGGCUUGGGCUUGUACACUGGGCUCGCCCUGGCUUCAUGGAGCAGUCUAGAGAGGGUAACAUCUAGCAAAUUCCUUGUCUGAGGUGGAUGUUUCCCGUGUGCUUCUAAAAAUAGGCAUUAUCAUUUUAGAUUUCAGCUGGUAAUAAACUGUAUACAAUGGAAAUGAAUGAGGAUUCCCAAAGUACUCACAAUGUCAAAAAAGCUGUAAAUCUGAUGAUAGCAUAGUAUUCGGUAUUAUCCUUUCUUGGGCUGAUUGAAAGGUUAGAACAUGUUCUUAUCUCUUGUUUUUAGUGUUUUCAUGAGCACGACUUCAUUCUGGAAGCUUGCGGAAAAUGUUUAGUUUUGAUUAGAGCUAAACCAUUAAACACACACACAGACACACACACACACACACAUGUGCAGGGCAGCCUCUACCCACCCCCAUACUUUUUACUAACAGGAAAAAUAAAAAUCAUUGUGAUAAUGAUAAGAUGUAUCUGCCUGCAGCAAGGGAUAGCUUAUCCAGUGUCUGCCUGGUUCUCUUUCAGUUUAAAUCCUCAACCAUCUGUGUGUAUCAGCAAAACAAAUGUCCUGUGCAUUUCAUGUUCUAACUGGAUGAUGUUCUAACAGGCCUAAUGAAGGAUGCUCGGGGCUUGAAAGGGCCGGGGCGCUGCUUGUCCUGCCGCCUGCCGGGCCUUUUGUGCUGUAUAGAGUUGUCUCUCUUGUCGGAGCCAGGAACCAGACAGCUGGAAAACAGGCUUCAAUUCAGCCAUCAAACUGAAUAUUGCGUGAAGAGCAGGGAAGGAAGAGUGCUUCUGAAAAGAAAAGUAGAACAAGAGGAAAAGCAUGACGUGGUGGGCUUGGGGAUUCCUUUAAAGAGUGACUAUACUGAGGGAUGAAUGGUCAGUAAAGCACCUCUCUUGCUGGGUAUGGCUCAGUCUUAAGUCUUGUGUUCUGGUCCAUUUACUUCCUGCUGCUCCUGAAGAGUCAUCCCCCUUAAGAACCUGCUCUAGUGGCCGAAGUGAAUGAAUGCUGGUGUAGUCCCUCCCAGCAGCACAGGCAUGUGUACCCAGGCAUGCUCACACAUGCUCACACACAUAGACAUACACAUCACAUACACACACAUACACACAGUGUUACUGAUUAUUGUCAGCAUUUCAAGAAAAAAAAAUGAGUUCUCAUCUUCCCACUGUGCAGUGGUA
RNAcentral lists this long non-coding RNA (1231 nucleotides) under Vulpes vulpes (red fox). RNAcentral describes it as "lncRNA (ENSVVUG00000002889.1)". The record is from RNAcentral. Lineage: Eukaryota; Metazoa; Chordata; Mammalia; Carnivora; Canidae.